This 1541-nucleotide long non-coding RNA is filed under the name Marmota monax (woodchuck). Lineage: Eukaryota; Metazoa; Chordata; Mammalia; Rodentia; Sciuridae. The record is from RNAcentral.
CUGGUCCCUCUGGUCUCCUCAGGGAGUCCAGGGGUGAUGGUGGAACUGAAGUCCUCUCUGGCCACAAACUCCACUGCAGCCAGCCUGGCUGGCUCCAUGGCCUCUCCCUGUUACCUCCGUGGCCUCUCCCUGCUGCCUCCUGUAGCACGCCCCUCCCUCCCCGUGGCCAUGGCUUGCAGACCCCACCACUCCUCCCCCAAGCCCCCCAGCCCUGCACCUGGGCACCUGCUAGUGAACACCCAGACCCAGCCGGUGCCCCAGGAGCCCCUGGGAGAGCUGGCCUCUUAGCAUGGGUGGCCUCCGGGAUGCCCACACUGCCCCUGAGGGGCUGUGGUCCACAGCUCUGCCUCCAGGGCCCUCUUCCUUCACCCUUCCUGAUCAGCUUGCAGGUCCCUUUCCAGAAAGCUGUCAAUACUCACAUCCAUGAGACUGGCCACUGCCUUGGGGCCUCCUGUCUGAUGCUCUGGAGGCUGAAGUCUAUGGUCAGGCCAGCAGGGUGGCCCCAGCAAGGCCCCAUCUUGGCUUUCAGAGGGUACCUUUCUGCUGUGUCCCACAGGAAGGGGAGGGAGCGAGCUGCUGGAGUCUUUUCCUAGGAAGGCUGAUCUCGUCACAUGGGCCCCACCCCCAUGGCCUCGGCUAACCCUCAUCUCCUCCGGAAGCCCAUCUCCUAGGAGCUCCACAUGGGGGCCAGGGCUCCUGCAAAGGACAUGAAAGGACACAGAUGACAGUCUGCAGCACCCUGGGCACCCGGUGGCCCCUGGGGACAGAUGCCACCCUCCCAGGACUUUCCUGUUCUGACUCUGCAGCCCCGUCCUGCUGACAUAGCUCACAGACCUCCCCUCUGCCCCUGUUGCCUACUGUAACCUGAGCCACAGAUGGUGGCAUCCGAGGGCCCACCACUCAUGCUGAGGUCUGUAGUGAGCAGCAACAUCUUGAGCUGUGACAGGGAAGGGGCCACAUAGUCCGUUCAUGUCCCCACUUGGACCUGGUGACUCUCACAUCCAAGUGAGGACAACUCAGGCUGGCAGUUGUAGGCAGCCUGUGUGACUCCAGCCUGAGCCCUGUGCCCUUCUCCUGGGGAGGAUCCCUUUGCCCCUGUCAUCAGGGUGCCUGAGCACGCCCCGUGGUGGCCACAGCACAGGGUGCUCAGGCCAGCCCUGCACCACCAUCAGCCCCAGUGACACCAGCAUCCUUGGGGAGAAACCUAAACACCCAGUAGGGAAGUUCCUGUGACUGAAGGGCAUCCUGGCCUGGGCAGGGGGCACAGUCCAGCUGCCUGCCUGUGCCCUCUUGGAGGACACACUGUCCCUCAUGGCAACUCCUGUCAGGACACAGAAACUCAAGUUCACAGAUGCAAAGACCAGGGCUAGGGGUGGCUGCUGGGGCCUGGUCUGUCCAUGUCCAGCAGGGCCACUGCACUGCAUGCUGCGAGGGGACUUCCUGUGGCUGAAGCACACGUCUGUGUGUCUGCAAUGGAAGAGGUCUUCGCUCCAGCCCCGCCUGAUCCCCCCACCGGAACCCCCAAUAGACCUGCGGCUCCC